UACGGGGGGGGCAAGCGUUGUUCGGAAUUACUGGGCGUAAAGCGCGCGUAGGCGGCUCGAUCAGUCUGCUGUGAAAGUCAAAGGCUCAACCUUUGAAUGCCGGUGGAUACUGUCGAGCUAGAGUCCGGAAGAGGCGGGUGGAAUUCCUGGUGUAGCGGUGGAAUGCGCAGAUAUCAGGAGGAACACCAACGGCGAAGGCAGCCCGCUGGGACGGUACUGACGCUAAGGCGCGAAAGCGUGGGGAGCGAACAGG
This 253-nucleotide ribosomal RNA is filed under the name uncultured bacterium. RNAcentral's name for it is "partial 16S ribosomal RNA". It matches the Rfam family "Bacterial small subunit ribosomal RNA", at positions 524 to 776 of the family's 1533-position model. The record is from RNAcentral.